UACGAAGGGUGCAAGCGUUACUCGGAAUUACUGGGCGUAAAGCGUGCGUAGGCGGUCUGUUAAGUCCGUUGUGAAAGCCCUGGGCUCAACCUGGGAAUUGCAGUGGAUACUGGCGGGCUAGAGUGCGGUAGAGGAUGGUGGAAUUCCCGGUGUAGCGGUGAAAUGCGUAGAGAUCGGGAGGAACACCCGUGGCGAAGGCGGCCAUCUGGACCAGCACUGACGCUGAGGCACGAAAGCGUGGGGAG
RNAcentral lists this ribosomal RNA (245 nucleotides) under uncultured bacterium. RNAcentral's name for it is "partial 16S ribosomal RNA". It matches the Rfam family "Bacterial small subunit ribosomal RNA", at positions 524 to 768 of the family's 1533-position model. The record is from RNAcentral.